GCCCCGCUGAUCCCGCCCCGCCCCGCCGGCCCCGCCGGUUCCGCCUCCCGUCUCCCCGCAGCCCCCCGGAGCCGACAAGUGAUGGCUGCCGCGGCCCCAGGUCCCGGGUCCCUCAGAUAAGAGGGCCGGUGGAGGAGGAAGCGGCCAAGUCCACGAUCCUGCUCCGGUGCCGCGGAGCACCGCCCACCUCAGCCGACCAGCCCCGUCGGCUAUUGGGCCUCGCCGAGACGAGAGGAGGGAAAGGCCGCGGCGUCCUCUCCCUCCGCGGCUCAUGGCGACGACACUUGGCACACCCGGGACCCUCAGGCCGUUGCGGUUGCGUCGUCAGCUGCUCGGGCCCCAGCCCCGGCCGCUGUGGUGACUCCGCCGCGCCUCGCCUUCGCACCGGUCCCCGUCCCGCCCGCCGCCUCAGCCGCCAGGGACAUGUCUAACCCCGGAGGCCGGAGGAACGGGCGGGUCAAGCUGCGCCUGACGGGAAUCAUAUUGACAGGUCAUGAAAAUGAGACCAAAAGAUCUCUGGAAGCGAUUAAUGAUAAAAUUUCAUGGAGAAGAAGGCCUUGACUACAGAGGGGUUACCAGGGUCUCCCUCUGUCACCCAGGCUGGAGUAUAGUGGCGCGAUCUCGGGUCACUGCAACCUCCCCAAGCUGGGCUCAAGAGAUCCUCCCACCUCAGCCUCCUGAGCAGCUGGGACUACAGGUACAAGCCACCACACCCAGCUGAUUUUUUUAUUUUUUUUGUAGAGAUGGGGUUUCGCCAUGUUGCCCAGGCUGAUCUCGAACUCCUGAGCUCAAAUAGUCUGCCUUCCCCGGCCUCCCAAAGUGCUGGGAUUACAGGUGUGAGCCACCACACCCAGCCGGUGAUUUAUUUCUGAUAUUAUAUUUACUAUAAGAAUUCUUUUCUAAAUAUGAAAAUUAGUUUUAUAUAAAUGUAGGAGAAAUACUAGCUCUGUAUUGAAAUGUUUUAAGGAUCAUUGUAAUUCUGCUUUCCCUAAUCUUAAAUCCAACCAAAAUUAAAUUAUGUUUUCAAUAAUUCCCAUUAUUAUUUAGCAUUACAUGUGUGUAUUUGUAGACUUAUUUUCAUUCUGUCAUCUUUUAAACCUAUAGAUGGGUGGUUUCUUUAGCGUGGAUUUUUAAAAAUAAUCUCUUACACAUCAUACUUAGGACUUGAUAGUUUCUGUGGAAUUUGUGUUACUGACUUAUAACUAGAGUUUGAAUGUUUAUUGGGAAAACUUAAUCAUGAUCAUCUGCUGGUGGCAUCUAAGUACUAUAAUUAUAUGUAUAGGUCAAAUAAGUAGUUUAAUUAAUUAAUUUUUUAGGGACAGGGUCUCUCUCUGUCACCCAGGCUCAAUGGAGUGCAGUGGUGUGAUCAUGGCUCACUGCAGCCUUGAACUCCUAGGUACAAGUGAUCUUCUUGCCUCAGCCUCCUAAAGAGCUAGGACUAUAGGCACAUGCUUGUAUGCCUAUUUAAAAAAAUUUUUUUUGGCCAGACACAGUGGCUCAUGCCUGUAAUCCCAGCACUUUGGGAGGCCGAGGCGGGCAGAUCACGAGGUCAAGAGAUUGAGACUAUCCUGGCCAACAUGAUGAAACCCCGUCUCUACUAAAAAUACACACAAAAAUUAGCUGGGCGUGGUGGCAUGCGCCUGUAGUCCCAGCUAUUCGGGAGGCUGAGAUGGAAGAAUCGCUUGAACCUGGGAGGUGGAGGUUGCAGUGAGCCAAGAUCAUGCCACUGCACUCCAGCCCGGGUGACAGAGUGAGACACUGUCUCAAAAAAAAAAAAAAAAAAAAAAAAUUAGAAUAAUUA
Pongo pygmaeus (Bornean orangutan) is the source of this 1801-nucleotide long non-coding RNA. RefSeq lists it as uncharacterized. The record is from RefSeq and is a predicted model, not a curated record. Lineage: Eukaryota; Metazoa; Chordata; Mammalia; Primates; Hominidae. The transcript is spliced from 3 exons.